RNAcentral lists this Y RNA (110 nucleotides) under Propithecus coquereli (Coquerel's sifaka). Its description in RNAcentral is "Y RNA (ENSPCOG00000001710.1)". It matches the Rfam family "Y RNA". From Rfam's summary of the family: Y RNAs are components of the Ro ribonucleoprotein particle (Ro RNP), in association with Ro60 and La proteins. The Y RNAs and Ro60 and La proteins are well conserved, but the function of the Ro RNP is not known. In humans the RNA component can be one of four small RNAs -- hY1, hY3, hY4 and hY5. Lineage: Eukaryota; Metazoa; Chordata; Mammalia; Primates; Indriidae. The record is from Rfam by way of RNAcentral.
AGCUGAUCCCAAGGUAGUGAGUUAUCCCAGCUGGUUGUUCAGUCAGUGACAGAUCAAACUCCUUGUUCUACUCUUUCCCUCUUCUCACUACUGCACUCAACUAGUCUAAA